AUCAAAGAAGGUAAUAAUCCUGUAGUCGAAAAUGUUGUCUCUCUUGAGUGGAUCCUGAGUACGACGGAGCACGUGAAAUUCCGUCGGAAUCUGGGAGGACCAUCUCCUAAGGCUAAAUACUCUCUAGUGACCGAUAGUGAACCAGUACCGUGAGGGAAAGGUGAAAAGCACCCCGGAAGGGGAGUGAAAUAGAACCUGAAACCGUGUGCUUACAAGUAGUCAGAGCCCGUUAAUGGGUGAUGGCGUGCCUUUUGUAGAAUGAACCGGCGAGUUACGAUUUGAUGCAAGGUUAAGCAGUAAAUGUGGAGCCGUAGCGAAAGCGAGUCUGAAUAGGGCGUUUAGUAUUUGGUCGUAGACCCGAAACCAGGUGAUCUACCCUUGGUCAGGUUGAAGUUCAGGUAACACUGAAUGGAGGACCGAACCGACUUACGUUGAAAAGUGAGCGGAUGAACUGAGGGUAGCGGAGAAAUUCCAAUCGAACCUGGAGAUAGCUGGUUCUCUCCGAAAUAGCUUUAGGGCUAGCCUCAAGUGAUGAUUAUUGGAGGUAGAGCACUGUUUGGACGAGGGGCCCCUCUCGGGUUACCGAAUUCAGACAAACUCCGAAUGCCAAUUAAUUUAACUUGGGAGUCAGAACAUGGGUGAUAAGGUCCGUGUUCGAAAGGGAAACAGCCCAGACCACCAGCUAAGGUCCCAAAAUAUAUGUUAAGUGGAAAAGGAUGUGGCGUUGCCCAGACAACUAGGAUGUUGGCUUAGAAGCAGCCAUCAUUUAAAGAGUGCGUAAUAGCUCACUAGUCGAGUGACACUGCGCCGAAAAUGUACCGGGGCUAAACAUAUUACCGAAGCUGUGGAUUGUCCUUUGGACAAUGGUAGGAGAGCGUUCUAAGGGCGUUGAAGCAUGAUCGUAAGGACAUGUGGAGCGCUUAGAAGUGAGAAUGCCGGUGUGAGUAGCGAAAGACGGGUGAGAAUCCCGUCCACCGAUUGACUAAGGUUUCCAGAGGAAGGCUCGUCCGCUCUGGGUUAGUCGGGUCCUAAGCUGAGGCCGACAGGCGUAGGCGAUGGAUAACAGGUUGAUAUUCCUGUACCACCUAUAAUCGUUUUAAUCGAUGGGGGGACGCAGUAGGAUAGGCGAAGCGUGCGAUUGGAUUGCACGUCUAAGCAGUAAGGCUGAGUAUUAGGCAAAUCCGGUACUCGUUAAGGCUGAGCUGUGAUGGGGAGAAGACAUUGUGUCUUCGAGUCGUUGAUUUCACACUGCCGAGAAAAGCCUCUAGAUAGAAAAUAGGUGCCCGUACCGCAAACCGACACAGGUAGUCAAGAUGAGAAUUCUAAGGUGAGCGAGCGAACUCUCGUUAAGGAACUCGGCAAAAUGACCCCGUAACUUCGGGAGAAGGGGUGCUCUUUAGGGUUAACGCCCAGAAGAGCCGCAGUGAAUAGGCCCAAGCGACUGUUUAUCAAAAACACAGGUCUCUGCUAAACCGUAAGGUGAUGUAUAGGGGCUGACGCCUGCCCGGUGCUGGAAGGUUAAGAGGAGUGGUUAGCUUCUGCGAAGCUACGAAUCGAAGCCCCAGUAAACGGCGGCCGUAACUAUAACGGUCCUAAGGUAGCGAAAUUCCUUGUCGGGUAAGUUCCGACCCGCACGAAAGGCGUAACGAUUUGGGCACUGUCUCAACGAGAGACUCGGUGAAAUCAUAGUACCUGUGAAGAUGCAGGUUACCCGCGACAGGACGGAAAGACCCCGUGGAGCUUUACUGUAGCCUGAUAUUGAAAUUCGGCACAGCUUGUACAGGAUAGGUAGGAGCCUUUGAAACGUGAGCGCUAGCUUACGUGGAGGCGCUGGUGGGAUACUACCCUAGCUGUGUUGGCUUUCUAACCCGCACCACUUAUCGUGGUGGGAGACAGUGUCAGGCGGGCAGUUUGACUGGGGCGGUCGCCUCCUAAAAGGUAACGGAGGCGCUCAAAGGUUCCCUCAGAAUGGUUGGAAAUCAUUCAUAGAGUGUAAAGGCAUAAGGGAGCUUGACUGCGAGACCUACAAGUCGAGCAGGGUCGAAAGACGGACUUAGUGAUCCGGUGGUUCCGCAUGGAAGGGCCAUCGCUCAACGGAUAAAAGCUACCCCGGGGAUAACAGGCUUAUCUCCCCCAAGAGUUCACAUCGACGGGGAGGUUUGGCACCUCGAUGUCGGCUCAUCGCAUCCUGGGGCUGUAGUCGGUCCCAAGGGUUGGGCUGUUCGCCCAUUAAAGCGGUACGCGAGCUGGGUUCAGAACGUCGUGAGACAGUUCGGUCCCUAUCCGUCGUGGGCGUAGGAAAUUUGAGAGGAGCUGUCCUUAGUACGAGAGGACCGGGAUGGACAUACCUCUGGUGUACCAGUUGUCGUGCCAACGGCAUAGCUGGGUAGCUAUGUGUGGACGGGAUAAGUGCUGAAAGCAUCUAAGCAUGAAGCCCCCCUCAAGAUGAGAUUUCCCAACUUCGGUUAUAAGAUCCCUCAAAGAUGAUGAGGUUAAUAGGUUCGAGGUGGAAGCAUGGUGACAUGUGGAGCUGACGAAUACUAAUCGAUCGAAGACUUAAUCAA
This 2564-nucleotide ribosomal RNA is filed under the name Staphylococcus aureus. RNAcentral's name for it is "partial 23S ribosomal RNA". It matches the Rfam family "Bacterial large subunit ribosomal RNA", at positions 354 to 2925 of the family's 2925-position model. Lineage: Bacteria; Bacillati; Bacillota; Bacilli; Caryophanales; Staphylococcaceae. The record is from RNAcentral.